This 162-nucleotide transfer RNA is filed under the name Candidatus Bathyarchaeota archaeon. RNAcentral's name for it is "tRNA-OTHER". It matches the Rfam family "tRNA". Rfam says of the family: Transfer RNA (tRNA) molecules are approximately 80 nucleotides in length. Their secondary structure includes four short double-helical elements and three loops (D, anti-codon, and T loops). Lineage: Archaea; Thermoproteati; Candidatus Bathyarchaeota. The record is from RNAcentral.
CGGGCGGUAGCUCAGCUUGGUAGAGCUUCCGAACCUGCUGGCAACCUCCCAGCUGGUGGAGAAGCUGUAGACGUCCACCCGUUGGUGGACGUUUCUCAGCCUACCAAGCGUACACUUGCAGAAACCGGAGUGUCGCAGGUUCAAAUCCUGCCCGCCCGACCA